RNAcentral lists this transfer RNA (76 nucleotides) under Siphoviridae sp. ctvyM23. RNAcentral's name for it is "tRNA-Thr". It matches the Rfam family "tRNA". From Rfam's summary of the family: Transfer RNA (tRNA) molecules are approximately 80 nucleotides in length. Their secondary structure includes four short double-helical elements and three loops (D, anti-codon, and T loops). Lineage: Duplodnaviria; Heunggongvirae; Uroviricota; Caudoviricetes. The record is from RNAcentral.
GCUACCUUAGCUCAGUAGGCAGAGCAACUGAUUCGUAAUCAGGAGGUCGCCAGUUCGAUUCUGGCAGGUAGCACCA